Drosophila novamexicana is the source of this 577-nucleotide long non-coding RNA. RefSeq lists it as uncharacterized. The transcript has 2 exons. The record is from RefSeq and is a predicted model, not a curated record. NCBI's taxonomy places the organism in Eukaryota, Metazoa, Arthropoda, Insecta, Diptera, Drosophilidae.
AAAAUAGUUAUAGAUCGAGUAGGUCCGAAAAUACAGAAAUACAAAAUUUGUCAAAAAGUCUACAAAAUGUUGGAAGCCAUUCUAUUUUUUCUGUGCAGUAGCAUAUUAUAUUUCCUCGCCCGUGUCGAAGAACCACCCGCAGGCGGAGGUUUUCUCUUGUGCCGACAUAUAGUCCUAUAUACGGUAGCCGCGGGUUUCGUCUUUAUGCAUCGCUGAGCUGUAAAAGGAAUAUGGCAAACGUCUUUGUGUUUUUUUGAAAAAGAUGUACAUGUUUAUUGAAAAAUUUGAAAUCAAGCAAAAUUAAUCAAAGAACAAUUGCAAGUGAAAUGAACAAAAUAAAAUAAUGAUGAUGUGAAGCUCAAGUUCCAAUGCAGUUGGUAUAAAAAUGCGCAGACAAACAACAACCAGUGGAAACCAAGGCGUGGACUAGGCGUGAGUGUACUAACUAUGAUGAACCUUAAAAUUCGAUGACUACUUGGCUUGGCGCCGUCUUGGGGUUGGUGUGGUAGGUGUGCCGGUUGGCGGUUUUAUCUAAAUGGUACAAAAAUAAACAAAACAAAAAAAAGGCGGUAUAUUA